This 561-nucleotide ribosomal RNA is filed under the name Triangularia verruculosa. RNAcentral describes it as "partial 28S ribosomal RNA". It matches the Rfam family "Eukaryotic large subunit ribosomal RNA", at positions 38 to 625 of the family's 3401-position model. The record is from RNAcentral. Lineage: Eukaryota; Fungi; Ascomycota; Sordariomycetes; Sordariales; Podosporaceae.
GCAUAUCAAUAAGCGGAGGAAAAGAAACCAACAGGGAUUGCCUCAGUAACGGCGAGUGAAGCGGCAACAGCUCAAAUUUGAAAUCUGGCCUCGGCCCGAGUUGUAAUUUGCAGAGGAUGCUUCUGGUGCGGCACCGACCGAGUCCCCUGGAACGGGGCGCCAUAGAGGGUGAGAGCCCCGUAUGGUUGGACGCCUAUCCUGUGUGAAGCUCCUUCGACGAGUCGAGUAGUUUGGGAAUGCUGCUCAAAAUGGGAGGUAAAUUUCUUCUAAAGCUAAAUAUUGGCCAGAGACCGAUAGCGCACAAGUAGAGUGAUCGAAAGAUGAAAAGCACUUUGAAAAGAGGGUUAAAUAGCACGUGAAAUUGUUGAAAGGGAAGCGCUUGUGACCAGACUUGCGCCUCGUCGAUCAUCCGGGGUUCUCCCCGGUGCACUCGGCGGGGCUCAGGCCAGCAUCGGUUUUCGCGGGGGGACAAAGGCCCCGGGAACGUAGCUCCUCCGGGAGUGUUAUAGCCCGGGGCGUAAUGCCCUCGCGGGGACCGAGGACCGCGCUUCGGCAAGGAUG